This 433-nucleotide ribosomal RNA is filed under the name uncultured bacterium. RNAcentral's name for it is "partial 16S ribosomal RNA". It matches the Rfam family "Bacterial small subunit ribosomal RNA", at positions 29 to 507 of the family's 1533-position model. The record is from RNAcentral.
AACGAACGCUGGCGGCAUGCCUAACACAUGCAAGUCGAACGAUACCUUCGGGUCGAGUGGCGCCCGGGUACUUAACGCGGGGGAACCUGCCCGUAGGUUAAGAAUAACUCCCCGAAAGGGGUGCUAAUACCGGAUAAUGUCUUCGGACCAAUGAUUUAUCUCCUUUGGAUGGGCCCGCGUUGGAUUAGCUAGUUGGUAGGGUAAAAGCCUACCAAGGCGACGAUCCAUAGCUGGUCUGAGAGGAUGAUCAGCCACACUUGGACUGAGACACGGCCCAGACUCCUACGGGAGGCAGCAGUGGGGAAUAUUGGACAAUGGGCGAAAGGCUGAUCCAGCAAUGCCGCGUGAGUGAUGAAGGCCUUAGGGUUGUAAAGCUCUUUUAACCGGGAGGAUAAUGACAGUACCGGGAGAAUAAGCCCCGGCUAACUCCGUG